This 711-nucleotide ribosomal RNA is filed under the name Heyndrickxia coagulans. RNAcentral describes it as "bacterial SSU rRNA". It matches the Rfam family "Bacterial small subunit ribosomal RNA", at positions 128 to 824 of the family's 1533-position model. The record is from RNAcentral. Lineage: Bacteria; Bacillati; Bacillota; Bacilli; Caryophanales; Bacillaceae.
GCCUGUAAAAUCGGGAUAACGCCGGGAAACCGGGGCUAAUACCGGAUAGUUUUUUCCUCCGCAUGGAGGAAAAAGGAAAGACGGCUUCUGCUGUCACUUACAGAUGGGCCCGCGGCGCAUUAGCUAGUUGGUGGGGUAACGGCUCACCAAGGCAACGAUGCGUAGCCGACCUGAGAGGGUGAUCGGCCACAUUGGGACUGAGACACGGCCCAAACUCCUACGGGAGGCAGCAGUAGGGAAUCUUCCGCAAUGGACGAAAGUCUGACGGAGCAACGCCGCGUGAGUGAAGAAGGCCUUCGGGUCGUAAAACUCUGUUGCCGGGGAAGAACAAGUGCCGUUCGAACAGGGCGGCGCCUUGACGGUACCCGGCCAGAAAGCCACGGCUAACUACGUGCCAGCAGCCGCGGUAAUACGUAGGUGGCAAGCGUUGUCCGGAAUUAUUGGGCGUAAAGCGCGCGCAGGCGGCUUCUUAAGUCUGAUGUGAAAUCUUGCGGCUCAACCGCAAGCGGUCAUUGGAAACUGGGAGGCUUGAGUGCAGAAGAAGAGAGUGGAAUUCCACGUGUAGCGGUGAAAUGCGUAGAGAUGUGGAGGAACACCAGUGGCGAAAGCGGCUCUCUGGUCUGUAACUGACGCUGAGGCGCGAAAACGUGGGGAGCAAACACGAUUAUAUACCCUGGUAGUCCACGCCGUAUACGAUGAGUGCUCAGUGUU